This 1238-nucleotide ribosomal RNA is filed under the name metagenome. RNAcentral describes it as "bacterial LSU rRNA". It matches the Rfam family "Bacterial large subunit ribosomal RNA", at positions 1564 to 2810 of the family's 2925-position model. The record is from RNAcentral.
UGAGUACGAGAUGCUACGGCAUCGAAGCAGUCUAUGUCAUACUUCCAAGAAAAGCUUGCAAUGUCAUAAACAAAUAAUGCCUGUACCAUAACCGACACAGGUGGGUAGGUAGAGUAUACUAAGGGGCGCGAGAUAACUCUCUCUAAGGAACUCGGCAAAAUGACUCCGUAACUUCGGGAGAAGGAGUGCCUUAUUUUUAUAAGGUUGCAAUAACAAGAUCCAAGCAACUGUUUACCAAAAACACAGGUCUCCGCUAAGUCGUAAGACGAUGUAUGGGGGCUGACGCCUGCCCAGUGCCAGAAGGUUAAAGAAGUUGGUUAGCAUUAGCGAAGCUGAUAACUGAAGCCCUGGUGAACGGCGGCCGUAACGAUAACGGUCCUAAGGUAGCGAAAUUCCUUGUCGGGUAAGUUCCGACCCGCACGAAAGGCGUAAUGAUUUGGAUACUGUCUCGGAGAGGGGCUCGGUGAAAUAGACUUGUCUGUGAAGAUGCGGACUACCUGCACCUGGACAGAAAGACCCUAUGAAGCUUUACUGUAACUUGAGAUUGAAAUUGGACUUUAUCUGCGCAGUAUAGGUGGGAGACGUUGAAAAUAUUCUUACGGGAAUAUUGGAGUCAUCAGUGAGAUACCACUCUUAUAAUGUUAGAUUUCUAACUUUGUAUCAUUAUCUGGUCAAAGAACAGUUUCAGGCGGGCAGUUUGACUGGGGCGGUCGCCUCCCAAACGGUAACGGAGGCGCACAAAGGUUUCCUCUGAACGUGUAGAAAUCGUAUCUAGAGUGUAAAGGCAUAAGGAAGCUUGACUGUGAGACCUACAAGUCGAGCAGGGACGAAAGUCGGUCUUAGUGAUCUGACGGUGCUGAGUGGGAAGGCCGUCACUCAACGGAUAAAAGUUACUCUAGGAUAACAGGCUGAUCUCCCCCAAGAGUUCACAUCGACGGGGAGGUUUGGCACCUCGAUGUCGGCUCAUCGCAUCCUGGGGCGGUAGUACGUCCCAAGGGUUGGGCUGUUCGCCCAUGAAAGCGGUACGCGAGCUGGGUUCAGAACGUCGUGAGACAGUUCGGUCCAUAUCCGGUGUAGGCGUUAGAAUAUUGAGAGGAGCCUUCUUUAGUACGAGAGGACCGAGAAGGACAUACCUCUGGUGUACCAGUUAUCGUGCCAACGGUAAACGCUGGGUAGCCAUGUAUGGAGAGGAUAACCGCUGAAAGCAUCUAAGUGGGAAGCCCACCUCAAGAUAAGUA